AUGUCCGAUGGAUAUGGAAGUCUUGCAUCCUGCCUAAACAAAAAAAAACUUUGGCUUCUGCUACAUGACAGAUUAAAUAACAGAGAUCUCCUUCUUAAGAAAAGUUUUAAUAUAGAAACAUGCAAAUGUGUACUUUGUGAAGAUGAACUCAAGGAACACAUCAUGCAUCUCUUCUUUAGCUGUGAUUUCAGCCAAAAUUUCUGGCUAUCCAUCCGCUUUGAGUGGAAUAUUGAUUAUGAAAUCAUUGAUAUGCUAACGGAAGGCAAGAGAAGAAACAGAAGCACAUGUUUCAAAGAAUGCCUAAUUGUUGGCUGCUGGAGCUUAUGGAAGCACAGAAAUGAGAUCAUUUUUGACAAACAAGCCAAAGACAUGAACUAAUGUAUUGCAUGUUUCAAAGAACACUUUGGUACCAUCAUUAGAAAGGCAAAACCAAGAUGGAAGGAGGGAAUGCAGUCAUGGCUAGAUUACUUGUAG
RNAcentral lists this ribosomal RNA (474 nucleotides) under Triticum aestivum (bread wheat). Its description in RNAcentral is "partial small subunit ribosomal RNA". The record is from RNAcentral. Lineage: Eukaryota; Viridiplantae; Streptophyta; Magnoliopsida; Poales; Poaceae.